GCUUACGGCCAAUACCACCCUGAGCACAGCCCGAUCUCGUCUGAUCUCGGAAGCUAAGCAGGGUCGGGCCUGGUUAGUACUUGGAUGGGAGACCGCCUGGGAAUACCAGGUGCUGUAAGCU
Molecule: ribosomal RNA, 121 nt
Filed under: Betta splendens (Siamese fighting fish)
Lineage: Eukaryota; Metazoa; Chordata; Actinopteri; Anabantiformes; Osphronemidae
Source: RNAcentral